CCCUACUUCACGGAGCAGAAGCGGAGACCCAGUGAAGACCAGUUUCACAGACAAGGCGGGACCGUAAUUCAUGCUGUGAUUGCAGGUUGCUACAAGCCGUUGAACACAGUUCCCUGUGCUGCGCAGGAGGACCUUGCUUGUUCUGUGCAUGGUACUGGGAGCACACUGGCUGGUAGUCUCUCCCCCAAGUCCUGACAGAAGCUGGGGGAUUGUGUGGCACCGCCGAGUUUGUUCGGAGCUGCCCAAAAGCUGCAGAGAAAACAUUGUGAUUGUAGCUUCCUCAGAAGUACAAAAAUAAAGUAAAACAGAAGGUUGUGACAGAGACUCUAAUGAGAAUAAAAUGCCAAUUAACUCAGAAGUAUUGGACGAGAAUCUGUUUCUCAGAAGAACCCCAGGUCGCACUUCAUGGAUCCGUUUCAAUGUCCCCCAGAGCACUGACCGGCCACGCUGGGGAAGCCGCCCUCAGAACAGUCGAGAACUCAGUGCCAGACCCACUACUUGUCACUUUAAUUGGCACUCAUUCCGUAUGAUGCUCACACGUUCACCGAAUGGGUUCAGUUUAAUUCGGAGUGGGGAUUUCUGUCUUUCUCCUAUUGAAGUAUUUAAUGGAGCAGGCUUUAACGCCGA
Molecule: non-coding RNA, 627 nt
Organism: Vicugna pacos (alpaca)
Lineage: Eukaryota; Metazoa; Chordata; Mammalia; Artiodactyla; Camelidae
Source: RefSeq, a predicted model, not a curated record